GGCUCCAUAGCUCAGUGGUCAGACCGCUGGUCUCGUAAACCAGGUGUCAUGAGUUCGACUCUCACUGGAACCU
Carcharodon carcharias (great white shark) is the source of this 73-nucleotide non-coding RNA. NCBI's taxonomy places the organism in Eukaryota, Metazoa, Chordata, Chondrichthyes, Lamniformes, Lamnidae. The record is from the annotation of a RefSeq genome assembly.